This 372-nucleotide ribosomal RNA is filed under the name uncultured organism. RNAcentral's name for it is "bacterial SSU rRNA". It matches the Rfam family "Bacterial small subunit ribosomal RNA", at positions 526 to 896 of the family's 1533-position model. The record is from RNAcentral.
CGGAGGGUGCAAGCGUUAAUCGGAAUUACUGGGCGUAAAGCGCACGCAGGUGGCUGAGUCAGUCGAUUGUGAAAGCCCUGGGCUUAACUGGGAAUUGCAGUCGAUACUACUCGGCUUGAGUAUGGGAGAGGGCAGUGGAAUUCUCGGUGUAGCGGUGAAAUGCGUAGAUAUCGGGAGGAACAUCAGUGGCGAAGGCGGCUGCCUGGCCCAAUACUGACACUCAGGUGCGACAGCGUGGGGAGCAAACAGGAUUAGAUACCCUGGUAGUCCACGCCGUUAAACGAUGAGAACUAGAUGUCGGGGGGGAUUAGCCCCUCGGUGUCGUAGCUAACGCAUUAAGCAUUCCGCCUGGGGAGUACGGCCGCAAGGUUG